AUUGAACGCUGGCGGCAGGCUUAACACAUGCAAGUCGAGCGGAAACGAUGAUAGCUUGCUAUCAGGCGUCGAGCGGCGGACGGGUGAGUAAUACUUAGGAAUCUACCUAGUAGUGGGGGAUAGCACGGGGAAACUCGUAUUAAUACCGCAUACGACCUACGGGAGAAAGGGGGCAGUUUACUGCUCUCGCUAUUAGAUGAGCCUAAGUCGGAUUAGCUAGAUGGUGGGGUAAAGGCCUACCAUGGCGACGAUCUGUAGCUGGUCUGAGAGGAUGAUCAGCCACACCGGGACUGAGACACGGCCCGGACUCCUACGGGAGGCAGCAGUGGGGAAUAUUGGACAAUGGGGGAAACCCUGAUCCAGCCAUGCCGCGUGUGUGAAGAAGGCCUUUUGGUUGUAAAGCACUUUAAGCAGUGAAGAAGACUCCGUGGUUAAUACCCACGGACGAUGACAUUAGCUGCAGAAUAAGCACCGGCUAACUCUGUGCCAGCAGCCGCGGUAAUACAGAGGGUGCAAGCGUUAAUCGGAAUUACUGGGCGUAAAGGGAGCGUAGGUGGCUCGAUAAGUCAGAUGUGAAAUCCCCGGGCUCAACCUGGGAACUGCAUCUGAUACUGUUGAGCUAGAGUAUGUGAGAGGAAGGUAGAAUUCCAGGUGUAGCGGUGAAAUGCGUAGAGAUCUGGAGGAAUACCGAUGGCGAAGGCAGCCUUCUGGCAUAAUACUGACACUGAGGCUCGAAAGCGUGGGUAGCAAACAGGAUUAGAUACCCUGGUAGUCCACGCCGUAAACGAUGUCUACUAGUCGUUGGGUCCCUUGAGGACUUAGUGACGCAGCUAACGCAAUAAGUAGACCGCCUGGGGAGUACGGCCGCAAGGUUAAAACUCAAAUGAAUUGACGGGGGCCCGCACAAGCGGUGGAGCAUGUGGUUUAAUUCGAUGCAACGCGAAGAACCUUACCUGGUCUUGACAUAUCUAGAAUCCUGCAGAGAUGCGGGAGUGCCUUCGGGAAUUAGAAUACAGGUGCUGCAUGGCUGUCGUCAGCUCGUGUCGUGAGAUGUUGGGUUAAGUCCCGCAACGAGCGCAACCCUUGUCCUUAGUUACCAGCGGGUUAAGCCGGGAACUCUAAGGAUACUGCCAGUGACAAACUGGAGGAAGGCGGGGACGACGUCAAGUCAUCAUGGCCCUUACGACCAGGGCUACACACGUGCUACAAUGGUAGGUACAGAGGGCAGCUACACAGCGAUGUGAUGCGAAUCUCAAAAAGCCUAUCGUAGUCCAGAUUGGAGUCUGCAACUCGACUCCAUGAAGUAGGAAUCGCUAGUAAUCGCGGAUCAGAAUGCCGCGGUGAAUACGUUCCCGGGCCUUGUACACACCGCCCGUCACACCAUGGGAGUUGAUUGCACCAGAAGUGGAUAGCUUAACCUUCGGGGAGGCGUUCACCACGGUGUGGUUGAUGACUGGGGUG
RNAcentral lists this ribosomal RNA (1461 nucleotides) under Psychrobacter sp. Its description in RNAcentral is "bacterial SSU rRNA". It matches the Rfam family "Bacterial small subunit ribosomal RNA". The record is from RNAcentral. Lineage: Bacteria; Pseudomonadati; Pseudomonadota; Gammaproteobacteria; Moraxellales; Moraxellaceae.